This is a non-coding RNA of Doryrhamphus excisus (bluestripe pipefish), 3037 nucleotides long. The record is from RefSeq and is a predicted model, not a curated record. Lineage: Eukaryota; Metazoa; Chordata; Actinopteri; Syngnathiformes; Syngnathidae.
AGCGGGUCCACGCCCAAGCUGCCCGAGUUGUAGAGAGAGGCGUUGCCGCAGUGUGUCUGCAGCAGGACGGGGUAUUAUCCUCACACAUCCAUCAGUCACAUCCACCCGGGACCCCCCUCCUCAUCACCGCCACCCUAGCUACAUACUUCUAAAAGGGGAGGGGGUGCGGCGGGAGGAGGGCCUCAGCUGCUGACAUCCUUCAGGGGUCUUUAUUUCCAGCAUCAUCCGACCACUGACUGCAGACCGGCAACAUGAGCAGUACUGUGAUUCAGCCGCAGGCGGUCCAAAGCCCCGUGGCCCAGCAGAAACCAGGAAGAGGCCCCAUCGCCUGCCAGAACUGUGGAAAACCUUGCAAAGGGGAGGCCCUCCGAGUCCAGAAUAAACACUUCCACCUGAAGUGCUUCGUUUGUAAAGUGUGCGGAUGCCAGCUGGCCAAUGGCGGCUUCUUCCUGCGCCAAGGAGAGUACAUGUGCACCCUGGACUACCAGCGCCUUUACGGGACCCGCUGCUUCAGCUGCCAGGAUUUCAUAGAAGGGGAGGUGGUGUCCGCCCUGGGAAAGACUUAUCACCCACAAUGCUUUGUGUGCGCCUCUUGCAAGCAGCCGUUUCCGGCCGGUGGCCGAGUAACCUUCAACGGCAAGGAGUGUAUUUGUCAAAACUGUAGCCAGCCUCUUCCCGUCAGCGGCCCCGCGCCCGUACAAGCCGCCCACAACUGCUGCGGCUGCGGGAAGGAAUUCACAAACGAACAAUCGCUGGUAGCGCUUGACAAGCACUGGCAUCUGGGCUGCUUCAAGUGCAAGGUGUGCAACAAGGUCCUCAACGCCGAGUACAUCAGCAAGGACGGGAUACCCUACUGCGAGAUGGACUACCAUGCCAUGUUCGGCAUCCAGUGUGAGAGCUGCAGGAAGUACAUCACCGGGAAAGUCCUGGAGGCCGGAGAGAAGCACUACCAUCCAUCGUGUGCCCGCUGUACUCGCUGUGAGCAGAUGUUUGCAGAAGGAGAGGAGAUGUACCUCCAAGGGUCUUCCAUCUGGCAUCCUCCGUGCAGACAGGCGGCCAAGCAGGAAGAGAAGAGUAAGGUGACCAGGACUUCAUCAGAGAGCAUCACGUCCGUCCCGGCGUCCAGCGCCUCGGGGUCGCCCAACCGAGUCAUUUAUGCUAAGCUAGGAGAGGAGUUGCUGGACUACAAAGACCUGGCCGCCCUGCCCAAAACCAAGGCCAUCUACAACAUAGACCGACCUGACAUGCUGUCCUACUCGCCGUACGUCAGCUACCCCGCCCAGGAAGCCACGCACCAUGGCGAGGGCGACGGAGAGAAGUCCCCCUGUCAGAUGAGACCCUCCAGUCCAAGCUCCAACAGUUCUUUGGGCGGCUAUGGACGUUACACUCCAUCACGGUCCCCCCAGAACAGCAGACCAGGAGCAGAGGUUUAUCUCGGCAAUAGACCCAGCAACCAGACCCGUGACCCCGGUAGACCGGAGCCCCCCGUGGGCGGUCCCGGUGCCGGUCCAAAGUACCCGGCCACAAUAGGAGGUGGCGGUGUAGGGGCGUCUUUACACCUGAACCCCACCACUCUCUCCAUGCUGCAGCAGCACAACUUCAUCCCCUACUUCAGAGGGAGCGAAAGUGGUCGGAGUACUCCCAGCUUAUCCGCCUACUCUGACGGAAAGUCGCCUUCCUCGGGGACGACGUACGUGGCGGCCCCUCGCCAUUUCCACAUACCAGAGCCUGUGGUCAAAGAUAAUAUCUAUAGAAAACCCCCCAUCUACAAACAGCAUGCUUCUAGAACUUCCUGGCAGGAUGGCGAGGACAGCAAGAGGACCAGCUGGAUGACGGAUGGACAGACCACUCCCGAAGAUCUGGACCCACGCAAGUCAACGUGUAGUUUGCCAAUGAAAACCUCCAAGCCAAGUUUCCCUCGGAAUAAGUUUGCAUCUUUACCCGGAUACGGAAGGAAUGGCAUCGACAAGGCUGCUGAGAUGGCGGAGGAUGACGCUGAUCCAGACUCUCAAAGUUGGGGGGGGGUGAGAGGUAAUUAGCGUCCUGCUUUUCAUUUCUACGCUGUCUUGGUUAAGGUACAAUAUCGGCCUUUGCUACGCCGAGUCUUGCGGUACAAAUGAGGAUGCGGAUGGACGAGGCCGUUGACUCACGUGGGGGCUAUUAUUAUUCCACACUGGGGGGUUUAUAGCCCAGGAGUUGCUCAAUCAGCACUUUGUCCCAUAAGGUCAAAGGUCCCAUAAUGAUAUUUUCCCAACGCUUCCACGGGCCGGAUGAAAUUGCACUAUGUGCCAGAUUUGGCCCCCCCGGCCGUGAGUUUGAGACAAGAGCUCUAAUGGGUUGUAAAUGACAUCACUUCCUGUAUUGUUUGAUGAUAUUGACCAAUUGUCCUAUUUUCCCUUCUUUGUCUCCCAGAAUACAAGGUGUACCCUUAUGAAAUGCUGGCAGUAACCAACAGAGUGAAAGUGAAACUUCCCAGAGACAUUGAUCGCACUCGACUGGAGCGCCACCUAUCGCCCCAAGACUUCCAGAGGGUGUUCGGCAUGAAUCUGGAACACUUUGACCGCCUGGCCCUGUGGAAGAGGAACGACCUGAAGAAGAGGGCACGUCUCUUUUAAUUCAAACGAUAACAAAGACUAAAUGCCUUGCCGUCCUACUAUAGAACAGCCAUCUUGUCCAAUAUGGCCGCCCGCUUGUGUGAUGUCAUACGAUGAAACACUGAAAGGCUUCACGGCCGUCUGGCUUCUCUAUGAGCUCCUGGUUGUUUGCUUGCAUGACGACUCGCCUGCUUUUCAUAGUUUAGCACUAAAUCAGAACACGGGGAGCCUCCAUUUGUUUGCUGUACUGCAAAUACAAAGAUAUAAAUAUUAGCAUAUUUAUAUAUAUAUGUGUGUGUGUGUAUAUUCUUUUAAUCAAGUACAGUAAAAAAAUGGCAUAUUUCAGACAUGGUUGCAAAUGAUUGGUGAUUAAAUGGUGAUUAAUUAUGAUUCAUUUGAAAGCUGUGAUUAAUCAGAUUAAAAAAUGUAACUUUUGUUUUUGA